This 1935-nucleotide unclassified non-coding RNA is filed under the name Hevea brasiliensis (rubber tree). The record is from RNAcentral. Lineage: Eukaryota; Viridiplantae; Streptophyta; Magnoliopsida; Malpighiales; Euphorbiaceae.
AUGAUGCAUUUGCAAAUGAUACAGGUUCAUAUUUUCCUUAUUGCUUUGUUUCUGAGUUUUGUGUGUGUGGAUUCAUAUUUAAAUAUCUGGCAACCUAAUUGAAUAGAUUUUCUUCAAUAUAGUAUGUUUAUUGAAUUGCUUUACCUGGAACCAUGUAUAGUGGAAAAUGGAAAUUUAUGCUUUUGAUGAGCAUAAGCUAUCCCAAUAGUAAUUGUGCUAUCUCAAGUUUUGGUUUCUGACUUUCUGUACAUACGGGACAUACUCAAAUUAGUUGUAUGCUAUCCCAAUAGUUAUUGUGCUAUCUCAAGCUUUGGUUUUAACUUCUAACUUUAUGUACAAACAUGACAUCCAAAUCAGUUGCAAACGAGCAUUAGUGAUCUAGAUUUUUUAGGACCUGUUUUCGGAUGUCGUAUUCCUUUGUAGUUAUUCAGUGUUUCAAUUUCAUGGUAAUUUUGUGAUAUUUAGGUUUGUUGCAGACUGGCAGUUGUGCUACCACAACAGCUCUAAGGGUGCAUUUGGUUCAAGGGAUGGGACAAUGUGAGACGAGACAAUACUAAUAUUUGUCCCUUUUUGUGAUUGGUGUACUCAGAACAAGGCAAAUUAAUUAUGCACAUUAAUAUUGAUAUGCCAAAUAAAUAAUAUUUAAGUAAUAUCAGUGAAGAAAAUUUCAAGAUUCAAUUUGUUUAUAAUAUUUUUUUAAAAAAUAAUUUUUUUAUAGGAUUUUUUUAUAAAUGUAAUUUUGUUGUUCUUGUUGAUUAGGACUGGACAAGUUGUCCCACCAGAAGUUAAGGGAUAGAAAAAUGAGGAAUGUCUUAUCCAAAGUAUACCAAAAAUAAGAUUAGUGAGAGUUGUCCUGUCCACAGAACCAAACGUAACCUAAUGGUCAAAGUAGUUGAGUUAUGGUUUUCUAGUGGGAAUGCAAGUCCAAUAAGUACUAGGGGCGUGUUUGGUUGCUGGAAUUUAACAUUUCUAUUCGGAAUCACUUUCCUGAGAAAGUAGCUUUCCAAGAAAGUGACCUUAGGAAUGUAACAUUGUCAUAUUUGGUUAUAAUUUCAAUUUUCCUUAGAAUGAACAAUUAAUUGUGUUUGGUUGGAUAUUGAGAAAUUAAAUUAAAGAGAGAUUACCACAAUACUCCUAUUCUAAAUAUCUUAUGAAUAUAUAAAUUUAUAUACUAUAUAAUGAAAUUUAUCAUAAUAACCACACUAACAUAAAUAUACCAUUAUUCAAAAAAUGUUGAACCAAUAUCAUUUAAUUUGUUUAAAAUAUAUGAUUAAAAAUAAAAAUUAAAAAGAAGAUUCAAAAGAUGUGUUCAAUUAUUAAAAAUCAAUUAAAUGCUGGAAAAUAUUGUAGCCUACUCAACAUCUAGAAUCUUGUUGGUAGGGUUUGUAGAGGAUAUUUAAUAUAACCUUUUUUUUUAUAAAUAUUAUUAUAAAUAAGAGUAUUUAUGUCUACACACUUGAAUUUUCCUCACCCAAUGUUAUAAAGAAGAUUUAUAUUGCUAUUUUUUUUUAAAUAUUAUACAAAUAAGUAUAUUGAUGUCCAUAUAUAUGUUUUCUAAUUUCCCACACCUAGACCUGGCCAAGGGCGGGGCUUGAACUAAAACUGGUAAAAAACUGUGGUUAUAUUGAACUUGGAUUUGAUUGAAACUGGAACCGUGAAAGGACCUUAGGGGCCGGUUCAAGCACCCUUUCGGUGGACAGUACCCACGCCCAUGGGAAAGUAACUAGCUUUACCAACUGAAAAGAUGGAAAAGUACUGCACAUGUAUGUGGGAAAAUAGAGGUGGGACCCACAUGUUUGGGAAUUGGGCUUUCCUGGGAAUGCAACAUUCCCCAUUUGAACCAAACACUAGAAUUUAUCAUUCCUGGUCACUUUUCUGGCAGAUUCAGGCAAUCAAAUGCCCCCUAGAAUUUUAACUCUUGUGUGUGUGUGUGUG